CAUGGACUGUAUAUUACAUGGGGUCACAAAGAGUCGGACAUGUCUGAGCAACUUUCCCUUUCACUUUGAAAGUCUCUGGUGGUUCAGACAGUAAAGAAUCUGCCUGCACUGCAGGAGACUGAGUUCAGUCCCUGGGUUGAGAAGGUCCCCUGGCGAAGGGAAUGGCAACCCACUUCAGUAUUCUUGCGUGCAGAAUUCCACAGACAGAAUAGCCUGGUGGGCUAUAGUCCUUAGGGUCACAAAGAGUCGGACAGGACUUAGCAUUCAUGCAUAUGUAAUAUCUAACAACUGAAAUAUCAACACACAAAAAAUCAGUCAAUUGUAUACUUAGUUUGAUUCUUUUCCAUUUUAUUCUUUCCACUUUCUAACUUAAACUUAUUGUACACACCUAUUAUUAUUUUGAUCUCACAUAUAUGCUAAUAUGAAUUAUUUAGGAAGGUAGGAAUCCAACAAUCAUGUACAAGAAGGUCUUCAGAAUCACAGGUUAUGGGUUUCUUGCUAAAGGAAAACCCCACAGACCAUGAGAUAAGAAUGACCUGAAGUUACUGUGACAACUGAUGGCUUAGCCUUUGGACUGUUUCCAUUUUAACCAAGAAAGAAAGUGUUUUUCUUUCUCUCCUCCCCACUUCCCCAGGGGGAUUUUCUAAGGAUUGGUGCAUUUAUUUUCAUAAAAGGAAAAACUGGCUCUAAGCUUGCAGUAAAGACGCCUAAACAAAUGGUUAGCUCACCAUACUCUCUUUUACAAAGUGUUUUUGAACCUAAGCAGCAAUUGUCUAUCAGGAAUUCUCCUUUCUAGGAAGUUUAGAAACAGCACAGAAUUCAUGAAAAUCCUGUUGGUUUUCUUUGAGAGUCACUCAGACUUCAAGUAUCAACAUGCGGCAGAUAUUGCUGGAGAGCCUACGAUGCGUUUGGCACCUGGACGCGGAGCUACAGCUUUCAGACAAGACUGGGGACGUUCAGGAUGGUAUGGCCGUAGACAAGCUGCCACUUUCGGAAAGAAUCAAAUUGCUCCACUUCCUUCAUCAUAUUUUUCUCAAGUAUAGCACUGCAUAUGGAGAAGGCUGGGCGGAAUGCAGAAAGCCAGGCAGAUUUUCCUCGUGUUGAAAGGGAACCUCUGGUCAAAAGUCAGCAGCCGCGCUGCAGAAAGCUUUGAUAGUCAGUGAAGUGGAUCACGGCAUGCGCGGAUGGAGCCUCUCGCUGCGCGGACGGACCUCCCUCCAAGAGCGACCCCUGGUCAUCAGUCAUCGGGGCCCCCAACGCCUUCUGCGCAGCCGAUGGUUUCACCAGCUCCACGGGGCCUGGGUCCCAAGCUGCCCUUUUCCACAGGUAUUGCUAAAGCAAAUAGCAGACGGUAUUUACUGGGUGUGAUGCUUUCAAUCACAUUAAUCUAGCCAGUAAAAAAAUUUAUGACCAAUAAAAAUUCCACCAUGACAUGGCUGAUUGGAGGA
RNAcentral lists this long non-coding RNA (1448 nucleotides) under Bos indicus x Bos taurus (hybrid cattle). RNAcentral's name for it is "lncRNA (ENSBIXG00005031081.1)". The record is from RNAcentral. Lineage: Eukaryota; Metazoa; Chordata; Mammalia; Artiodactyla; Bovidae.